RNAcentral lists this ribosomal RNA (50 nucleotides) under Anopheles messeae. RNAcentral describes it as "partial 28S ribosomal RNA". Lineage: Eukaryota; Metazoa; Arthropoda; Insecta; Diptera; Culicidae. The record is from RNAcentral. RNAcentral also lists the same sequence under 1 other name.
GGAGCUCAUGGGCCUCAAAUAAUGUGUGACUACCCCCUAAAUUUAAGCAU